GAAAGACCUGCUGCCCCCAUGAUUCAAUUACCUCCCACUGAGUCCUUCCCACAACACAUGGGAAUUGUGGAAGCUACAACUCAAGAUGAGUUUUGGGUGAGGACACAGCCAAACUAUAUCAAUCCAGGUGUUCUGUUUCUUCCUGGUUCAAUCUUGGCAGGUUAUGUGUUUCCAGGAAUUUAUCCAUCUCCUCUAGAUUUUCUAGUUGUGUACCACACCAAGGAACUCCCACACUCCGAAUGAACAGCCCAGUGAUCAGGAGCUUUGAAUCAAUUCUUGGCACCUAACACUUUGUGAAGAGUCUGCUAAACUCCCUCUAUCAGAAAUCCCAGAAGACUUGAGAACAGGUCAUCCUUGGAGCUGUAUUUGAACGGAGUCAGGAUCUGGAAGCCCAAGUCUCCUUGUCAAUGUCUGCUUGGUUCCCAAGGACACCUGUAAAUGAAGAGGGGCACAGUAUACGGAAGACAUUGCUGGAAAGUGUGCUCUCUUUAUGGCCGGGUACAGCCAAGGGAGAAGAAGGAACACUGAUAUGGCCAGCAUUUCUCUUAAAACCUAAGAGUGGCCAGGCAUGGUGGCUGAUGCCUGUAAUCCCAGCACUUUGGGAGGCCAAGGCAGGGAAUCACGAGGUCAAGGAAUCAAGACCAUCCUAGACAACCAACAUGGUGAAACCCCGUCUCUACUAAAAAUACAAAAAUUAGAUGGGCGUAGUGGCGCACGCUUGUAGUCCCAGCUACUCUCGGAAGGCUGAGGCAGGAGAAUUGCUUGAACCCGGGAGGCGGAAGUUGCAGUGAGCCGAGAUCGCGCCACUGCACUCCAGCCUGGGCGACACAGUGAGACUCCAUCUCAAAAAAAAAAAAAAAGAAAGAAAGAAAGAAAAAAGAAAAAAAACCUGAGUGUACUGAUUGGUAGUUGGUAAAUAUUAUUGAAUGAAUUUCUUCAUAAAUUAUAGAUAGUCCAAUGCAUUUGUUAUUAUCCCACAUUCAAAAAACUAUUCCGUGGAUUAACGUAGUUAUUACCCUGUUGAAAAUCCCAUUUUCCAUUCGAAAUAACAUCCCAAUUGAAGUUUCUACCCACAGUUGAAAUGUGUCCCCUGUGAUAAUUUAAGUAUCAGAGUUUCUUAAUGAUUUGCUUUGUAGAUAAUAAAUUAGGCUUGAUUCAAGACUUUUCCUAUCACAAUGCCAUUUUUGUAAUAAUGCCUGGUGUUACUCCUAUUGUAAUACUAAUGCUCAGAUAGCUUCUCUUGAAUAGAAAGGAGAAGCUGUCUAUAUCCAUAGGAACAAGUACAUACAAAUGUCUUCCAUCUCAUAAAGCAUUGCCAAACUAUCCUCUUCUAUCGGGCCUCAACAUUUCUACCUGAAAAUUAACUGCAAGGAUGCUUUACUACAUUAUAAUAUACCCUUCCUACCCAAGCGGUGUCUGCUCUAAGAUGUCAACCACCUUUUGCAAUGCACUAUUGCCCUUUCUGCAAAUUGGACAGUUCCUUCAGAAUUUACAACUUCUGUUUCAAUGUAGGAGCCAGGUGGGAUGCUUUACGCAGAGACAGGGAUGGGUGGAGAGAGACAGAAAUACAUGCAGUCUCCCUAUAAAGGUUCUUCAAUCCCAUACCUCAAUGUAUACAAAUCUGUAAAAAUGUAUACAUGGAUAAACAUGCAUCAAAUAGAGAAAUCCCAAAGUUCACUUUGGGGAAAAAAAAAAAAGAAAAGAAAAAGUUACCAACCAGUCUAAGCAA
Molecule: long non-coding RNA, 1729 nt
Organism: Pongo pygmaeus (Bornean orangutan)
Lineage: Eukaryota; Metazoa; Chordata; Mammalia; Primates; Hominidae
Exons: 4
Source: RefSeq, a predicted model, not a curated record